UACGGGGGGUGCAAGCGUUAAUCGGAAUUACUGGGCGUAAAGCGCGCGUAGGCGGUUUGCUCAGUCGGAUGUGAAAGCCCAGGGCUCAACCUUGGAACUGCAUACGAUACUGGCAAACUAGAGUGUGAGAGAGGAUAGUGGAAUUUCCGGUGUAGCGGUGAAAUGCGUAGAUAUCGGAAGGAACAUCAGUGGCGAAGGCGACUGUCUGGCUCAACACUGACGCUGAGGUGCGAAAGCGUGGGUAGCAAACAGGAUUAGAAACCCUAGUAGUCC
Molecule: ribosomal RNA, 273 nt
Filed under: uncultured bacterium
Lineage: Bacteria
Description: partial 16S ribosomal RNA
Rfam family: Bacterial small subunit ribosomal RNA
Source: RNAcentral